GUGCUGCUGCGGCGGCGGACCGAACGUCAUUUCGGGCGCGGACUGACACUUAAAAUAAGCAUACACUGUACGCCGCCGCCGCCGCCGCUUUUGAAACGCGCCAAAGAAGCUCGUUGCCGCCGCUAGUGAUCGCCAGUGCGCUUUCGGUGUGCGGUUGUCGCGGACGUCUGCUGCAGCGGCUGCGCAUCUCUCUCCCCAUCGGCUCCGUCUCAAUUUUUACUUUCGCGCGCGCACACACACACACACACACACGCGCGCACGCAAGAACACGCGCACACGCACACUUACACACGCGCGCGCGUGCGCGUACGCACUCUCUCGUCGAGGAGUUUGGGUUGUCGAAUUUUCCGCACACCACCCCCCGCCGCUCGCCCCCUCGUCGCACCACCGGUUUCUUUUUCAUCGCGUCUCAUAGAUACAUAUUGUUAUUAUUAUUAUUAUUAUUAUUUUAAUUAUUAUUAUUACUACGAUCGUCUAAAGCCCGCGUCGAAUAUACCUAUAAUAUUAUCAUCAUUAUGUAAUAAUUUUUUUUCGUCUUCUCGAAACCGGCGAGACAUCGUCACCGUCACACCGAUAACGCGUCAGGAGGUCGACGAAAAAAAUCAAAAAAAAACAAAAAAAAAACAAAAAAAAAAAAAACAAUUAAGUAACACCACCAUAACUGUGUAUAAUAAUAAUAGUAUACUGUUGUACACCCGGUGACGGAAGCGAUGAACCGUGUUUGGCUGGACACGACCCCUGCUGCUGACUGCUGCUUUGGCCGUUUCGAGUCGACACUACUGUGAUUCCUGCAACUUCGAUCCUGGAAAUCUCUGCUGCAACACACGUGGUGUCUGAUACUACCGAUAUAUUAUUAUCCGACUAUCUAUCUAUUUUGCAAAGUGUUUCCAUUGUAUUCAGUAUGAACCAUAAAGCAUCGCCAUGUUUUAAUAAUAAAAGAAAUACGCCCCAACCUAAAUUGGUUUCACCAAUUCACUACGUCGAAAAAAUGUUGCUAUUAUACCCAAGCUCACCUAAAACCUAAUCGAUUCACUGCAGGACAAUAUUUAAAAGUAUGUUAAAUAUUGAUACAACAUGGUUCAAUAUUACAAAAUUGACGAUCAACGAGCUACACUCGAAACCUCAGUGUACUACUUGCAUAAUACGUUUAUACAAAAUCUACAUCGGUGACUUCUAAAGGAUUUUAGUUCUUUGUAUAUUGUUUGUAUUUUAACUUUAUAAUUUGCAAAUAAAUAAUUAUUAUAAUAUGAAAAAAAUGAAAUAAUAAUUUUAAAAUAGGAAAUAAAAUUAUACGUAUUAAAGUAUAAAAUAAGUACAUAUUUAUUUAAGCACAUUAUAGAAUGACCACUUUUAGAUUCUGAACGGAGUGAUGAAUGUAUUGAUUUUACAAUGAUGAGUGUUUUUAUUAUUUUUUUUUUGUGUUAGUCAUCACGUUUUGGAGCAGUAAAAGUGCUUCGAUUUUUAAACUCAGCCCCAUUUCUGAUAGGAAAGUGAAUCUAGUUGGUUUUUUGGGGGGUCAAAAGUAAAAAAUUACAAUAGUUUUCAAAAGUAACACAAAUAGUAAUUAUAACUUUAAAUACUUGGAAUUGUCACCAAAUGUUUAUGUUAGUGUUAUCUACAUACAGUUGAACUUUCAGAAAAUCUUGAUUUUUUUUGAGUUAUUUAUAGACUACUGAAAUUUUCGAUUUUUUUGAGAAUUUUAUUUUUAUUUGAAGUUCAAAUGUUGAUUAGAAUUCGUCAAAAUCAUAAAUAUUUGCAAAUUAUUUUGUACCUAGAUAUAAUUCAUAAAAAAAUUGCAUAUGUAGCUAAGAGUUGAAAAUGUAAUACAAGAUUUUUCAUAAGUUUAACUUACAAUAAUCAUAAAAUAACUUAAAUUUUGGAGUAUUCAGGCCAUUAAAACAUAAACCACCUUUUUCACUAACCACUGGAAAUUAUAUCUUAGACUGACAAAUCAUCUUCGUUCAGAAUUGUUUUUCGUAUACAGUUAUGAUACCUAUCAUUGGAUUCAAAUUUAACAUUCCUAUAAUAUAUUACAAUAGGGUUCCACACGGCACCUAAUUGCAGAGCGGUACCCACUUACCUGCUUUUUUUUUUUUUUUUUUUGAUUGAAAUUUAAGUUUUACUCAUAUAAUUUAUUACUGCACAAAACCACAAAACACUUCUUCAUUAAAAUUAUUUACUUACAAAACUAAAUACAAUACUAAAAAAACAAUGACAGAUUACAAAUAGUUUUUUUCUUACUUUAAUUUAAGUUAUUUAAAACUAUAUUGAUGUUUACCUAAAUAUUCACGUGUGUUUAUUUUUUUUAAUAAAAUCGUUUCCGUUCAUUAAAAAAUAAAUAUAUGCAUAUAUUUAUUUGAAUAAUCAAUAAUAGAUAUAAAUAAAUAAUGAGAAGCCCCAUUAACUAUCGCCCAAACAAUAAUAUCCAUAAAUAGUUAUUGCUUUUAUUACUGAGUUAGACUUUAUCAAUGCAAUAUAAAAUUUCUGUUUUAUUUCUUAUUUAGUCAAUAAACAAUAAUACUUAAUAAUACCUUCCUAUAAUCCUAAACUUUCGUAGUAUGAUGACGAUACAAAAAUAUAUUGAAUCUUUUUUCAUUAUAACUAAUACAUAGUCAUAAUAAAUAGAUAAGUAAAUAUUCAUAAAUCAAAAAGUGAACAAUCAUAUUUAAUAAUGAUUAUUCUGAUAAUUCCUUGUUCUAUACAAAAAUAUUUGUUUUAAUAUUUAUUUGUUAAAUACUUUAGCCGUAUAAUCCACUGAAAAAAACUUAUAAGUACACGGUCAUUAAAUCCACACUUAAAUAGCGUUUCAUAAUCAUUUUGCUAUUAUAUAUUUUUAAUAGAUAGUUGGAUUAAAGAAUAUCUUGGUAAAUUACAUAUAAAUCAACUUGAAGGAUUAUCUAGAAAAGUCAAGGAUGACAGUUAAGAGAUUAUAGGAUUUUUGUGUUAUUAUUACAAAAUCGUUAGGUUAGAUUAAAUAAUUAUUUAUAACUAAGCUUAUCGAUUGUUGUCAUUAAAUUGUUAUAAUAUGUAGACUCUAAGUAAUUUAGUAUUUUGAAGUAUGUUAAUUUACUUACUACAAAAGUACACAAUCAUAGGCUUUAAUAGUUAUAUAUAUAUUUAUAUUUAUUAUUAGUAUAUAAUAAUUAUAUAUUAUUCAUCAUAAUAUACGUAUUUUUUAAGUUAGAUAUUGUUGGCGCAAAUUGGUUUUAAUUUUUUAGUAGAGUUUGGAGAAAGAGUAUUAAGUUAUUUUGUUGAAAUCUGAAAUAUCUGUACUAUGAUAUAUAAUUGUCCACGAAUAAAGAAUUUAUCUAAUAAAAAUAUUUUUUUUUU
Aphis gossypii (cotton aphid) is the source of this 3330-nucleotide long non-coding RNA. RefSeq lists it as uncharacterized. The transcript is spliced from 4 exons. The record is from RefSeq and is a predicted model, not a curated record. Lineage: Eukaryota; Metazoa; Arthropoda; Insecta; Hemiptera; Aphididae.